UCUGACUGUGUGUAAAUGCU
Molecule: unclassified non-coding RNA, 20 nt
Filed under: Mus musculus (house mouse)
Lineage: Eukaryota; Metazoa; Chordata; Mammalia; Rodentia; Muridae
Description: oocyte_clustered_small_RNA6160
Source: RNAcentral